RNAcentral lists this ribosomal RNA (484 nucleotides) under uncultured bacterium. RNAcentral describes it as "partial 16S ribosomal RNA". It matches the Rfam family "Bacterial small subunit ribosomal RNA", at positions 30 to 507 of the family's 1533-position model. The record is from RNAcentral.
AUUGAGCGCUGGCGGCAGGCCUAACACAUGCAAGUCGAGCGGAUGAAGGGAGCUUGCUCCUGGAUUCAGCGGCGGACGGGUGAGUAAUGCCUAGGAAUCUGCCUGGUAGUGGGGGAUAACGUCCGGAAACGGGCGCUAAUACCGCAUACGUCCUGAGGGAGAAAGUGGGGGAUCUUCGGACCUCACGCUAUCAGAUGAGCCUAGGUCGGAUUAGCUAGUUGGUGGGGUAAAGGCCUACCAAGGCGACGAUCCGUAACUGGUCUGAGAGGAUGAUCAGUCACACUGGAAGUUAGACACGGUCCAGACUCCUACGGGAGGCAGCAGUGGGGAAUAUUGGACAAUGGGCGAAAGCCUGAUCCAGCCAUGCCGCGUGUGUGAAGAAGGUCUUCGGAUUGUAAAGCACUUUAAGUUGGGAGGAAGGGCAGUAAGUUAAUGCCUUGCUGUUUUGACGUUACCAACAGAAUAAGCACCGGCUAACUUCGUG